This 240-nucleotide ribosomal RNA is filed under the name uncultured bacterium. RNAcentral describes it as "partial 16S ribosomal RNA". It matches the Rfam family "Bacterial small subunit ribosomal RNA", at positions 8 to 245 of the family's 1533-position model. The record is from RNAcentral.
AGAGUUUGAUCCUGGCUCAGGAUUAACGCUGGCGGCGUGCAUAACACAUUCAAGUCGAACGGAGAGAGGCAGCUUCGGUUGCGUCAAUCAGUGGCGGACGGGUGAGUAACGCGUGAGUAACCUGCCUGUAAGAGGGGGAUAACACCUGGAAACGGGUGCUAAUACCGCAUAAAUCAUAGUUGUCGCAUGGCAGCGAUGUAAAAGAGGAAUUGCUUACAGAUGGACUCGCGUCUGAUUAGA